CUGAUUGGUGAAAUCUCUUUCGGCCGUCUCUCGUUUGAUUGACGGUCAUAGGUCGCUGAAAGGUUAGCUGACGCGACAUUCUACUAGGUUUUGUCAGACUCGGUAUAGCGGUGUAACGAAUAAUACUGAGCCUAGAUUUACUUAGACUGCAUUUUUCCAUGAU
This is a long non-coding RNA of Haliotis rubra (blacklip abalone), 163 nucleotides long. RefSeq lists it as uncharacterized. The record is from RefSeq and is a predicted model, not a curated record. The transcript has 3 exons. NCBI's taxonomy places the organism in Eukaryota, Metazoa, Mollusca, Gastropoda, Lepetellida, Haliotidae.